CCUACGGGGGGCAGCAGUGGGGAAUAUUGCACAAUGGGGGAAACCCUGAUGCAGCGACGCCGCGUGAGUGAAGAAGUAAUUCGUUACGUAAAGCUCUAUCAGCAGGGAAGAAAGUGACGGUACCUGAGUAAGAAGCCCCGGCUAACUACGUGCCAGCAGCCGCGGUAAUACGUAGGGGGCAAGCGUUAUCAGGAUUUACUGGGGGUAAAGGGAGCGUAGACGGUGCGCCAAGUCUGGAGUGAAAGGCCGCAGCUUAACUGCGGAAUUGCUUUUGAAACUGGCGAACUAGAGUGCCGGAGUGGUGAGCGGAAUUCCUUGUGUAGCGGUGAAAUGCGUAGAUAUUAGGAGGAAUACCGGUGGCGAAGGCGGCCUACUGGACCGUAACUGACGUUGAGGCUCGAAAGCGUGGGGAGCAAACAGGAUUAGAUACCCUUGUAGUC
RNAcentral lists this ribosomal RNA (440 nucleotides) under uncultured bacterium. RNAcentral's name for it is "partial 16S ribosomal RNA". It matches the Rfam family "Bacterial small subunit ribosomal RNA", at positions 338 to 795 of the family's 1533-position model. The record is from RNAcentral.